ACCCUCUAGAUUCCUUACCCCUCAGAUCUAAACAUUGGUCUGAGUGAUUAGAAAGGAGGAAAAAGUAAAACGGAAGUGGACUUGGAAUCUUUAAUGACUUACAAGUGCAUUUCAAACAGAU
Molecule: small nucleolar RNA, 121 nt
Filed under: Echinops telfairi (small Madagascar hedgehog)
Lineage: Eukaryota; Metazoa; Chordata; Mammalia; Afrosoricida; Tenrecidae
Description: Small nucleolar RNA SNORA61 (ENSETEG00000024198.1)
Source: RNAcentral